UACGGAGGUGGCAAGCGUUGCUCGGAAUCAUUGGGUGUAAAGGGUCUGUAGGCGGUUCUAUAAGUGCCUGAUGAAAUCCCGCAGCUUAACUGCGGAACGUUUGGGUAGACUGUAGGACUUGAGGACUGGAGAGGCAGACGGAAUUCCCGGUGUAAGAGUGAAAUCUGUAGAUAUCGGGAGGAACACCAGAGGCGAAGGCGGUCUGCUGGACAGUAUCUGACGCUGAUAGACGAAAGCGUGGGGAGCAAACAGG
Molecule: unclassified non-coding RNA, 253 nt
Filed under: uncultured bacterium
Lineage: Bacteria
Description: contains 16S-23S intergenic spacer region
Rfam family: Bacterial small subunit ribosomal RNA
Source: RNAcentral